CGUAGGGUGCGAGCGUUGUCCGGAAUUAUUGGGCGUAAAGGGCUCGUAGGCGGUUUGUCGCGUCGGGAGUGAAAACGCCGUGCUUAACACGGCGCUUGCUUUCGAUACGGGCAGACUAGAGGUAUUCAGGGGAGAACGGAAUUCCUGGUGUAGUGGUGAAAUGCGCAGAUAUCAGGAGGAACACCGGUGGCGAAGGCGGUUCUCUGGGAAUGACCUGACGCUGAGGAGCGAAAGUGUGGGGAGCGAACAGGAUU
This 254-nucleotide ribosomal RNA is filed under the name uncultured bacterium. RNAcentral's name for it is "partial 16S ribosomal RNA". It matches the Rfam family "Bacterial small subunit ribosomal RNA", at positions 526 to 779 of the family's 1533-position model. The record is from RNAcentral.